GUCUAGCAUGUACGCGAGUCAUUGGGACCCGUUAAACCUAAAGGCGUAAUGAAAGUGAAGGUUCUCCUCGCGAGAACCUAGGGAGGACGGUUGGCGGGGUGUACCGCCGUCCUGCACUCCCGGGGCGUCUCGUUCUCAUCGCGAGAAGAGGCGCACCAAGAGCGUACACGCUGGGACCCGAAAGAUGGUGAACUAUGCCUGGUCAGGACGAAGUCAGGGGAAACCCUGAUGGAGGUCCGUAGCGAUUCUGACGUGCAAAUCGAUCGUCGGAACUGGGUAUAGGGGCGAAAGACUAAUCGAACCAUCUAGUAGCUGGUUCCCUCCGAAGUUUCCCUCAGGAUAGCUGGCGCUCGUCGCGCACGAGUCUCAUCCGGUAAAGCGAAUGAUUAGAGGCAUUGGGGUCGAAACGACCUCAACCUAUUCUCAAACUUUAAAUGGGUGAGAUCUCCGGCUUGCUCGAACGAAUACCGGUGGUUUUAACCCCCCGGUUGAAGCCGCGAGACACACGG
RNAcentral lists this ribosomal RNA (509 nucleotides) under Trigonopterus suturatus. RNAcentral's name for it is "partial 28S ribosomal RNA". It matches the Rfam family "Eukaryotic large subunit ribosomal RNA", at positions 673 to 1115 of the family's 3401-position model. Lineage: Eukaryota; Metazoa; Arthropoda; Insecta; Coleoptera; Curculionidae. The record is from RNAcentral.